GAGUUUGAUCUUGGCUCAGAUUGAACGCUGGCGGCAGGCUUAACACAUGCAAGUCGAACGGUAACAUGAGUGCUUGCACUUGAUGACGAGUGGCGGACGGGUGAGUAAAGUAUGGGGAUCUGCCGAAUGGAGGGGGACAACAGUUGGAAACGACUGCUAAUACCGCAUAAAGUUGAGAGACCAAAGCAUGGGACUUACGGGCCAUGCGCCAUUCGAUGAACCCAUAUGGGAUUAGCUAGUUGGUAGGGUAAUGGCUUACCAAGG
Molecule: ribosomal RNA, 264 nt
Filed under: Gilliamella apicola
Lineage: Bacteria; Pseudomonadati; Pseudomonadota; Gammaproteobacteria; Orbales; Orbaceae
Description: partial 16S ribosomal RNA
Rfam family: Bacterial small subunit ribosomal RNA
Source: RNAcentral